Molecule: transfer RNA, 72 nt
Filed under: Uraeginthus bengalus (red-cheeked cordonbleu)
Lineage: Eukaryota; Metazoa; Chordata; Aves; Passeriformes; Estrildidae
Description: tRNA-Glu
Rfam family: tRNA
About the family: Transfer RNA (tRNA) molecules are approximately 80 nucleotides in length. Their secondary structure includes four short double-helical elements and three loops (D, anti-codon, and T loops). Further hydrogen bonds mediate the characteristic L-shaped molecular structure. tRNAs have two regions of fundamental functional importance: the anti-codon, which is responsible for specific mRNA codon recognition, and the 3' end, to which the tRNAs corresponding amino acid is attached (by aminoacyl-tRNA synthetases). tRNAs cope with the degeneracy of the genetic code in two manners: having more than one tRNA (with a specific anti-codon) for a particular amino acid; and 'wobble' base-pairing, i.e. permitting non-standard base-pairing at the 3rd anti-codon position.
Source: RNAcentral
GUUCCUGUAGUUAAAUAUGUAUAACGGCGGUUUUUCAGGUCGUAGAUCUCAGAGAGAGGCUGAGCAGGAAUA